CUCUGUUUGUGUGUCAUUUUAUGAUUUGUGAUUGAUUAGUUUUUAAUGAAUGGUUCAUUAAUGAGUAGUAAUGAUAGUAGUAACAUUCGUAAGUAGUUACUUAUAAUAAUAACUACCCACCCACACACAGAAAUUCCUGUACUGUCUGUAUCAAUGACUCUAAGAUCAAGACAAAUCUCUUUGAAGUUUUACCAGCAUUCAUGCAGUAAUCACAAGUUACAAAUGAGCAUGUACAUACAUGUAGUGUAUUUGUGAAACAGUAUAAUAACGAUUCUCUAUUACAGUUAUGUAUAAUUGGCAUUGAUAGCUUUAAAGAUUAUGACAUUAUCUUGUACUGCAUGGAUCAUGCAUGUACAUGUACAUCUUAAGGCAGCAUUGUACAUUAGAUUCAAAUUUAUGAAUGCUUGUAGCUUAAAUAUUUGUGCUUGGAAUUGGCUCAAUCUUUUUGCACAGCACAAGGAUGCAUGUACAUGUACAUGUAUUAGGAUUUUGGAAUGUACAUGUAGUUAUAAUAAGUAAUUUCUCUCUCCAUUCCUUCAUAGAGCGAUGAUGAUUUAUAUAUGGCUGAAUGUAUACAGAGCAGUUUGAGAUAUGAUAUACAACAAGAAAGACAAAGGAAGCAACCGUCACUGAGAAAAAGCACUAGCAAUUGGAGUUGUCCCAGUUGUCAAUGGUCCAAUAAUCCAUUAGUCACUACUUGUGAUAAAUGCUCCUAUAUACUUCCAUGAAUAUCCUCUUUCUCUUUUAUAAUUCUUUUCACUUUAUAUUGGUUUUUGAUCUUAUUGUUACUUGUAUUAUUAUUGUUGUUCAUUCUGAUGUUAAUUGUUGAAUAACACACAUGCAGUGUAUCUUCAUGUACACGUACAGUACAUAAAGUGUGUGUUGGUAUGUUAGUUCUGUAUGGUAUAUAAUAAUUAUACUGUCUUUGUGGGACUUCAUAUUAUUAGUGUAGUUUAUUUAAUCCUUUGUCAUUUCAGGAGUUUAUGAUGGUCGUUUGUAUAGUUUAA
Amphimedon queenslandica is the source of this 1007-nucleotide long non-coding RNA. RefSeq lists it as uncharacterized. NCBI's taxonomy places the organism in Eukaryota, Metazoa, Porifera, Demospongiae, Haplosclerida, Niphatidae. The record is from RefSeq and is a predicted model, not a curated record. The transcript has 2 exons.